RNAcentral lists this ribosomal RNA (253 nucleotides) under uncultured bacterium. Its description in RNAcentral is "partial 16S ribosomal RNA". It matches the Rfam family "Bacterial small subunit ribosomal RNA", at positions 524 to 776 of the family's 1533-position model. The record is from RNAcentral.
CACGGGGGGUGCAAGCGUUAUUCGGAAUCACUGGGCGUAAAGAGCGCGUAGGCGGUCUCUUAAGUCAGAUGUGAAAGCCCGGGGCUUAACCCCGGAAGUGCAUUUGAAACGGAGGGACUUGAGUAUGGGAGAGGGAAGUGGAAUUCCUGGUGUAGCGGUGAAAUGCGUAGAUAUCAGGAGGAACACCGGUGGCGAUGGCGACUUCCUGGACCAAUACUGACGCUGAGGCGCGAAGGCGUGGGGAGCAAACAGG